CGUAGGGCGCAAGCGUUAUCCGGAAUUAUUGGGCGUAAAGAGCUUGUAGGCGGUUCGUCGCGUCUGGUGUGAAAGCCCAUCGCUUAACGGUGGGUUUGCGCCGGGUACGGGCGGGCUAGAGUGCAGUAGGGGAGACUGGAAUUCCCGGUGUAACGGUGGAAUGUGUAGAUAUCGGGAAGAACACCAAUGGCGAAGGCAGGUCUCUGGGCUGUUACUGACGCUGAGAAGCGAAAGCGUGGGGAGCGAACAGGAUU
This 254-nucleotide ribosomal RNA is filed under the name uncultured bacterium. RNAcentral's name for it is "partial 16S ribosomal RNA". It matches the Rfam family "Bacterial small subunit ribosomal RNA", at positions 526 to 779 of the family's 1533-position model. The record is from RNAcentral.